UUUCCGUAGGUGAACCUGCGGAAGGAUCAUUACAGAGUUCAUGCCCUCACGGGUAGAUCUCCCACCCUUGAAUAUUUAUACCUUAGUUGCUUUGGCAGGCCGUGGAAACACCAUGGGCUCCGGCUUAUGCGUGCCUGCCAGAGGAAACAAACUCUGUUUUUAGUGAUGUCUGAGUACUAUAUAAUAGUUAAAACUUUCAACAAUGGAUCUCUUGGUUCUG
Molecule: unclassified non-coding RNA, 220 nt
Filed under: plant metagenome
Description: partial contains small subunit ribosomal RNA, internal transcribed spacer 1, and 5.8S ribosomal RNA
Source: RNAcentral